RNAcentral lists this ribosomal RNA (253 nucleotides) under uncultured bacterium. Its description in RNAcentral is "partial 16S ribosomal RNA". It matches the Rfam family "Bacterial small subunit ribosomal RNA", at positions 524 to 776 of the family's 1533-position model. The record is from RNAcentral.
UACGAAGGGGGCUAGCGUUGCUCGGAAUUACUGGGCGUAAAGGGCGCGUAGGCGGAUCGUUCAGUUGGGGGUGAAAGCCCGGGGCUCAACCUCGGAACUGCCUUCAAUACUGGCUAUCUUGAGUACGGGAGAGGUGUGUGGAACUCCGAGUGUAGAGGUGAAAUUCGUAGAUAUUCGGAAGAACACCAGUGGCGAAGGCGACACACUGGCCCGUUACUGACGCUGAGGCGCGAAAGCGUGGGGAGCAAACAGG